Molecule: long non-coding RNA, 452 nt
Organism: Mauremys mutica (yellowpond turtle)
Lineage: Eukaryota; Metazoa; Chordata; Testudines; Geoemydidae
Exons: 3
Source: RefSeq, a predicted model, not a curated record
CCUAAACCUGUAGCAGAAUUUAAAAGUAGUUCCAAUGUUGCACUAUAUCAGGCAGUCCAUUGAGAUAAGGAGUAUGUUCAGCAAGAUAUCCAUUAGGAGUCAGCCAGUUACAUCUACUUGAUUUCUACUAAAGGAUUGUACGUAUGUGAUGAACGUCACUGCAUCUGAUGUGCUAGCAGUGUCCACUAAAUGCUGCUCCAACUCUUGACGGGACUGUUAGAGGAAAAAAACCCAGUAUUUUAAAGGUGGAUGUAGUAACUCCCAUCAAAUGUGUUAUUCUACAAUUUCAAGCUGAAAAUCAGAAUUCAUAUCCUACCUUAACAUACUGUUCAACCUCUGUCACAAUGCCCAUAACAGCUGAAUAAGACUCCUCCAGCGCUGCAGGACCAUCGGGCAUCCGUGUUAAGGCAUUCCGAUAGAACUUCUCUUCCUCAGACAAUUCAUAGUGUACC